CCUUCCUUCCUUCCUUCCUUCCUUCCUUCCUUCCUUCCUUCCUUCCUUCCUUCUUCCUUCUUUCCUUCCUUUCAAUGAAAAUACCCUCCUAGGAUGGACAGAUGAUUUAGAAUUUCUUUUCCCCUAGCAAACAGGAGUUUCUAACAUGUAGCAUCACAGGCCUUAUAUGAGAACCAGAGCCCUAGAAUGACACCCCCACCACCCUGGCAAUCAGCGGGGUGAAGAGGUUACGGGACUGUGAGGCAGGGGGCUUGAUGGGAGCUCUGUGUCUGUUGCUGGGCUGCCAAGCAUUGUGACCCUUUGUCAGGCUCAGGUCCCCUCUGAGCCUGCUGACCCAGGAUGAGCCCCCUGCAAGCUGUGGGACGCAGCAGGUGCAGGAUGGAGUAGGCGCGCCCAGCCAGCAGGCACACGUGAGCCUGAGUGGAGCGUGACAUUUAUCAGCACAAUGUGGCCAUGCUGCAGCUCCAGCUAUUCCUCCAUACUGUAAAACCUGAGAAUUUGCAAGGCCCCAGCCCUAGCUCUGCUGGGACCCCUGAUGCAGGUUCAACUGGGCCAUUUCAGGUCGUCCAUGCAGGAUGUCUGGUGCCAACGGGCCUGGGCGGCUGCAUUGUGUAUGAAUGAGGCAGAUCAUGAAUAAUGCAUGUGACACUGAUUAUGCAAAUCCUCAGGUUCUUAGAUUUUCAGCCAGCACACCACAAUGGGCUGCUGGGGGCCCUCUGAGCUCCUGUUCUAUGGUUUUGAGUCUGUUCUCGAGGAUCUGGGCUGCCAAAUUCCAGGGGGCACCUUGGGAAGAAGUGGGCACCCUGGCAAGUCCAAACUCCUAUCACUGCUUCAGCUGCCCUGACACAGCUCAGUGCAGAAGGCCCCGGUUUUCUGCCUGAGGUAGCCCAUGGCACACACAUGCGGAGGCUUGUGAUAUUUAAUUCAGAGGGCACCUCCAUCGAAGACCCAAGCUAAGCUCUGCCGUGGAUCUGAACUUGGUGCACCAGACGGAUGAUGAGCAGUUCAGCAUUAGACACCCUAGCAUCAGCGAGUGAGAAAUCCACCCACAGACGGAGCAGAGGCCAGGAAAAGAGAAUCAUCUGUUCUUCCUCGGCUGACUCUGGUUGCUGAUGAUUCAUUAUCUGGCUUCCCAAAGUGAAAAGAAAAGGUUGUCCUGGACUGGACUCUAGGAAUCGGAGGCCUCAAGGAACCAGCGUGCCCCACAAUGACGGCAAAUGCUUCGGCACUGGGCAUGGGGGCAGAGUGUGAAUCAGCCUUGAGGACCACCUGGUAGAGGCUGUUCUCACUCAGGCAUGUUUCCUACUGGGUGAGCAUCUGGGACUUCCGGUCAGUCACACAGGGAGACCUUAUCCAGCGACUGCCAUGGUCUGUGUG
Peromyscus californicus insignis is the source of this 1377-nucleotide long non-coding RNA. RefSeq lists it as uncharacterized. The transcript is spliced from 3 exons. NCBI's taxonomy places the organism in Eukaryota, Metazoa, Chordata, Mammalia, Rodentia, Cricetidae. The record is from RefSeq and is a predicted model, not a curated record.